UGUUACACCUCUACCUGACUCAGAAGU
This 27-nucleotide non-coding RNA is filed under the name Mus musculus (house mouse). The record is from RNAcentral. Lineage: Eukaryota; Metazoa; Chordata; Mammalia; Rodentia; Muridae.